This 253-nucleotide ribosomal RNA is filed under the name uncultured bacterium. Its description in RNAcentral is "partial 16S ribosomal RNA". It matches the Rfam family "Bacterial small subunit ribosomal RNA", at positions 524 to 776 of the family's 1533-position model. The record is from RNAcentral.
UACAGAGGUCCCGAGCGUUGUUCGGAUUCACUGGGCGUAAAGGGUGCGUAGGCGGUCGGGUAAGUCUGACGUGAAAUCUUCAAGCUCAACUUGGAAACUGCGUCGGAUACUAUUCGGCUAGAGGAAUGGAGGGGAGACUGGAAUACUUGGUGUAGCAGUGAAAUGCGUAGAUAUCAAGUGGAACACCAGUGGCGAAGGCGAGUCUCUGGACAUUUCCUGACGCUGAGGCACGAAAGCUAGGGGAGCAAACAGG